This 987-nucleotide ribosomal RNA is filed under the name human gut metagenome. RNAcentral's name for it is "bacterial LSU rRNA". It matches the Rfam family "Bacterial large subunit ribosomal RNA", at positions 1938 to 2925 of the family's 2925-position model. The record is from RNAcentral.
AACUAUAACGGUCCUAAGGUAGCGAAAUUCCUUGUCAGGUAAGUUCUGACCCGCACGAAUGGCGUAAUGAUCUGGGAGCUGUCUCAACUGCCCGCCCGGCGAAAUUGUAGUACCGGUGAAGAUGCCGGUUACCCGCGACUAGACGGAAAGACCCCAUGGAGCUUUACUGUAGCUUAAUAUUGGAUUUCGGCAUUUCAUGUACAGGAUAGGUGGGAGACUAGGAAACAUAGGCGUCAGCUUAUGCGGAGUCGUCCUUGGGAUACCACUCUUGGAGUGCUGAAAUUCUAACCUGCAGCCCUGAAUCGGGUUGGGGGACAUUGUUAGGUGGGCAGUUUGACUGGGGCGGUCGCCUCCAAAAAGGUAACGGAGGCGCUCAAAGGUUGGCUCAGCAUGGAUGGAAACCAUGCCAUAGAGUGCAAACGCAAAAGCCAGCCUGACUGCGAGACUGACGGGUCGAGCAGAAACGAAAGUUGGAGUUAGUGAUCCGGCGGUAUGUGAAUGGAAAUGCCGUCGCUCAACGGAUAAAAGCUACCCUGGGGAUAACAGGCUGAUCUCCCCCAAGAGUCCACAUCGACGGGGAGGUUUGGCACCUCGAUGUCGGCUCAUCGCAUCCUGGGGCUGUAUUCGGUCCCAAGGGUUUGGCUGUUCGCCAAUUAAAGCGGUACGCGAGCUGGGUUCAGAACGUCGUGAGACAGUUCGGUCCCUAUCUGUCGUGGGCGCAGGAUAUUUGAGAGGAGCUGUCCCUAGUACGAGAGGACCGGGAUGGACGCACCUCUGGUGCACCAGUUGUCACGCCAGUGGCACAGCUGGGCAGCUAAGUGCGGAUCGGAUAAACGCUGAAAGCAUCUAAGCGUGAAGCCGUCCUUAAGAUAAGAUAUCCCACUUUUAAGUUAAGACCCCUUGUAGACUACGAGGUUGAUAGGUCUAAGGUGUAAGUUGUGUGAGCAAUUUAGCCAGCAGAUACUAAUCGGUCGAGGGCUUAAACCU